RNAcentral lists this ribosomal RNA (625 nucleotides) under Schaefferia argentinensis. RNAcentral describes it as "eukaryotic LSU rRNA". The stretch from base 235 to 390 matches the Rfam family "5.8S ribosomal RNA". Lineage: Eukaryota; Viridiplantae; Streptophyta; Magnoliopsida; Celastrales; Celastraceae. The record is from RNAcentral.
GAACCUGCGGAAGGAUCAUUGUCGAAUCCUGUCCAAUAAAGGCCCGAACGACCCGAGGACUUGUGAGAACCACUCGACGUCCGACCCGGGGGGGGACGCGGCCAGCCGCAGCCCCUCUCCCGCGGGCGCCAACAACAAACCCCGGCGCAAAUCGCGUCAAGGAAUUGGAAGAAGGGCCCCCUCGCGCCGGAAACGGUCGGGCGGGGCGCGCGCACGUCGUUCGUCAUACGAAACGACUCUCGGCAACGGAUAUCUCGGCUCUCGCAUCGAUGAAGAACGUAGCGAAAUGCGAUACUUGGUGUGAAUUGCAGAAUCCCGUGAACCAUCGAGUUUUUGAACGCAAGUUGCGCCCGAAGCCGUCAGGCCUAGGGCACGUCUGCCUGGGUGUCACGCAACGUCGCCAGACCCCCCCUUGAACCCCCUUCGGGGAGGCGGGGGAAGGCGGAUGCUGGCCUCCCGUGCGCUCCCGCUCGCGGUUGGCCCAAAACAUAGACCCUCGGCGAUGGUUGCCACGGCACGCGGUGGUCGGAACCAAAGGCUCCUCGAAAACCGUCGUGGGCAAACCCUCGUCGAUGGGACCGACAGACCCACGCACGCGACCCCAGGUCAGGCGGGAACACCCGCU